AAUACAGAGUAUUAACAACGUAAGAGGGCACGAUGGCAAAUGCCUGUAAUCCCAGCUACUUGGGAAGGUGAGGCAGGAGGAUCGCCUGAGGAGCCCAGGAGUCUGAAAGCAGCCUAGGAGACAUUGCGAGACUUCAACUUAAUUUAAAAGAAUCAUGCAUAUUUUCGUGCAUGAUCCAGAUCUUGUUUAAAAAAGCAUAAUAUUCCAACACUUUGUUAUGAAGACUCAGAUGAUUUGAUAUAAAGGUUUCCUUUGGGACCAUACCUUGAGACUAUAGUAAAAUUAUUAUUAAGUAUACUCUUGGUAGGAAAUUAAUGCAUUAAGAACACUUUUCCCCUCCUUUAUAGUUCUCAAAUGCACGGAAAAAUAGAAUUUAUCACAAUCUGAUCUCUACAAGUGAGCUACAGUAUACAAUAGUCAUAAUCCAAACAGAAUCCUGUAAGACGGACAGAAAAUUGUAUUAUUAUCAGAAUUAGUGUAAGUGGACAGUGUCAACCUUAGAAAGUAUAAUUUCUAGAAAAAUGAACUAAGAGCAGUUAGAGCAGAGUACACAGUAGUCUCUCUUUAUCUGCUCUAUGUGUAGAAAGAAACACACACAACAUGAUUUCCCUCUGCUCUCAUGCCACAGUCAUCAAAACAGAAGACUUCUGUGACCAAAUGUGUGGAAGAUUUUGUCCACCAAAAAAUAAGCAAACAAUUCUGUAGCAGAAACCAGCAAGUUGUCCUCUAUUUAAUUCCACUAUCUAUCUAGAAAUAGUGUUAGAUCCCACAGGCUGAGGGCUCAGUCUCACAAGACUGCCCUCCCACAUCAGUUGCAAAUGUGGGUUUCUGAAUCAUCUAACCAGCUGGUUUCAAGUUGGGAUUCUCAUGACUCCCUCUUUGGGUUUGAUUAACGUACUAGAGUGCCCCAAAUACUAAGGGAAACACAUUUACCAGUUUAUUAUGAAGGGUAUCACAAAGGAGACACAUGAAGAGAUGCAUAGAGCAAGUUAUAGGAAAGGGGCAUGGAGCUUCCAUGCCCUCCCAGGGCACAUCAGCCUCCAAACACUUCCAUAUGUUCAGCUAUCUGGAAGGUCUCUGAUCCCAGUCCUUCUGGGUUCUAAAGAAAGCUUUAUUACAUAGGCAUGAAUAAAAAAAAUCUGUGGCUCCUGGUAAUUGACCUAAUCUUCACCUCCUAGGAGGUUGAGGGGUGGGGCUGAAAGUCCCAACACAUCAUGUCUUCUUCUUUCUUGUGACCAGCUCCUAUCCUGAAGCUACCUAGGGACUGCCAGCCAUCACUCAAUUAUUAGCAUACAAAGACAUCACUUUGGAGAUUCUAAACAUUCUAUGAGUUGUACGCCAGAAAACAGUGUUGAAGACCAAAUAUAGAUUUCACAAUAUAAUAUCCAUGGUUUUGAUUUCUGUGAUUUCAGUUAUUCAUGGUCAACCAUAGUCCAAAAAUAUUAAAUGGGGAAUUCUAGAAAUAUGCAAGUCAUAAGUUCUAAAUAAUGUGUCAUUCUAAGGAGUAUGAUGAAAUAUAAAGACAUCAUUUUCCAUCUCACCCAGGUCAUGAAUCAUUCCUUUGCAUAUGCUAUCUGCCCAUCAAAAUGGUCUGUUUCUGAGUCCCAACCAUCAACAUUAUCAUGGCUCAAUGAUCCACCAUCACAUGAAGCAGAUGAUCCACCUUCUGAUAUGUAGUCAGAUAGCCAGAAAUAAUUAGUAGCCUAACACCACAUGACAACUCCUACCUCAUUCACCUGACUUCAUCUCAUCACAUAGGCAUUAUAUCAUCUCACAGUCAUCACAAGAAAAAGAAGGACGGAAUGAAGUUGAUAAUAGUGAGACCUUGUUGGUACAAGACUACGUAACAUAACCUGCGCUUCUCAACAAAGAAUUGCUUUUCUGACUUCUGCACUCAGAAAAGGGAAUCACUUGAGGGAACAACCACAAGUUGGAACCCACUACAACUUUGGAAAGAUGACAUGGGAUUUUAC
RNAcentral lists this long non-coding RNA (1973 nucleotides) under Homo sapiens (human). Its description in RNAcentral is "HSALNT0393213". Lineage: Eukaryota; Metazoa; Chordata; Mammalia; Primates; Hominidae. The record is from RNAcentral.